Molecule: ribosomal RNA, 162 nt
Filed under: Styloceras brokawii
Lineage: Eukaryota; Viridiplantae; Streptophyta; Magnoliopsida; Buxales; Buxaceae
Description: 5.8S ribosomal RNA
Rfam family: 5.8S ribosomal RNA
About the family: 5.8S ribosomal RNA (5.8S rRNA) is a component of the large subunit of the eukaryotic ribosome.
Source: RNAcentral
AUGAGUCUUGAUAACGGAUAUCUUGGCUCUUGCAUUGAUGAAGAACGUAAUGAAUUGCUAUACUUGGUGUGAAUUUCUAAAUCUCGUAGACCAUCGAGUCUUUGAACACAAAUUGUGACCUAGGCCAAUUAGGUUAGGGCCACAUUUGCUUGGACAUCACAC